Dreissena polymorpha is the source of this 476-nucleotide long non-coding RNA. RefSeq lists it as uncharacterized. Lineage: Eukaryota; Metazoa; Mollusca; Bivalvia; Myida; Dreissenidae. The record is from RefSeq and is a predicted model, not a curated record. The transcript has 3 exons.
CAGAACUGUGCGUUUUAUUUGUGUUUUCACUCUUUUAUCUGUGGAAUAAUCGCGGAGAGUGAUUCAUUAGUAGUUUGCAUAUUAACUUAAGUAAUGUGGAGAUUUAAAAUGUGUGCACUGUACUUGUCUGUUUAAGAAGGCUUCCAUUGCUGUGGAGUGCAUUGAACGACAUCAUGGCAUAGAAGAACAUACCCGGGGAUAAUACUAGCAGCAACAAGUACCACGCAACCGCCAAAAUGCACGCCGCCAUUUUGAAGCACGUCUGAGUGAACCGAUGGUUUCCAUGGAUUCCAUGAAGAUUCAAUUGAUUUGUUGGUUUUUAAUCGUCCAAUUAUUUUUAAAAAUAAACAUUUUGGUGAAUGCUGUUUGUGUUCUUCCAACGGAUCAUCUUCUUUCCCCCAUUGGUGUAAUCGUACUGCACACGAAAAACAUUCUACUGUAUCGUUUUUACCUGUGUAAUAAAAGCCAGCUGAUGA